GUCCUCACUGCGUGUUGUCGCACUCGUGUAUCCUGCCGGUGCCCGCCUGUGUCGCCACCACACCCGGCUAAUCGGUGUUUUUAGUAGAGACGCGGUUUCUCUAUGUUGGUCAGGCUGGUCUCGAACUCCUGACCUCAGGCGAUCCACCCCUCACCAUCCCAAAGUGCUGAGAUUACAGAGCUAAACCACGGAGCCCAACCAGAACUGUGAUUUUGGUAGUACCCACGAGGCAGGAUUCUCUUAGUAACACCACGUAUUAUUUCCUAUGAAGUUACCUCCAACAGUCAGCUUGCUAAGAGCCUCAGCAUUUCAAGAUUGGGCAGGACUGGCCAGGCACAGUGGCUUAUGUGUGUAAAAUCACGCCUGUCACCGCAGCACUUUGGGAGGCCGAGGUAGGCACAUUACCUGAGGUCGGGAGUUUGAGACCAGCCCGGCUGACGUGGUGAAACCCCGUCUGUACUAAAAACACAAAAUUAGCCGGGCGUGGUGGCGUAUGCCUGUAAUCCCAGCUACGUGGGAGGCUGAAGCAGAAUGGCUGGAACCUGGGAGGCGGAGGUUGCGUUGAGCCGAGAGCACACCAUUGCACUCCUGUCGGGGUGACAAGAGUGAGACGCCAUCUCGAAAAAAAAAAAGAAAAGUAACGCGAAGUGCACUUGCUGGUCUUUGAACUGUAACUUUGGAUACCCUCCCCCGCCACCAUCGAAUCCCCCAAAUCCCCCAGAGUCCAGUAUACCACCACGUAGGAUUUCACUGGAACUGCUAAGGAAACCAUGCCCGGAUUACUGUGUUAUAAUCUAUGAAGUCACAGGAGUGAAAACAUGUCCAAGAGUGGAUGAAGCAGUUACCACGGCUCCAGGACAGGAACUCGGACCAUGUCUCCGUGGGUCGUGGCUGUUUUGUGGGAGGGUGUGCAGGACCCACCCAGUCCCCGUGGGCCAUGGCUAGUUUCUGGAGUGUGUGCAGAACCCACGGGUCCCUGUGGGUUGUGCCUGUUUUGUGGAGGGUGUGCAGGACCACGGUCCCGUGGGCCAUGCUAGUUGUGGGAGGGUGUGCAUACCCACGGGUCCGUGGGUUGCGCUGUUUGUGAUGAGGGGUGCAGACCCACGGAGUCCCGUGGGCCAGGCGUAGUUCUGGAGGGUGUGCAGGACCCACGGGUCCCCGUGGGUCGUGCUGUGUUGUGGAGGGUGUGCAGGACCCACAGGGUUGGAUGCGAAGCUUCCUGUUCUCCCACUGCUCCGGGCCGAACACGUGACUAAACACGGGACCAUCGGUGACACA
This is a long non-coding RNA of Macaca nemestrina (pig-tailed macaque), 1278 nucleotides long. Lineage: Eukaryota; Metazoa; Chordata; Mammalia; Primates; Cercopithecidae. The record is from Ensembl.